RNAcentral lists this long non-coding RNA (652 nucleotides) under Homo sapiens (human). Its description in RNAcentral is "HSALNT0317675". Lineage: Eukaryota; Metazoa; Chordata; Mammalia; Primates; Hominidae. The record is from RNAcentral.
CUUGAGAGAGGUCAGCGUGAGCCCCUUGCCUCACACCGGCCCCUCCCACGCUGAGAGAGGUCAGUGUGAGCCCUUGCCUCACACCGGCCCCUCCCACGCGGACAGAGGUCAGCGUGAGCCCCUUGCCUCACACCGGCCCCUCCCACGCUGAGAGAGGUCAGUGUGAGCCCUUGCCUCACCCCGGCCCCUCCCACGUGGACAGAGGUCAGCGUGAGCCCCUUGUCUCACACCGGCCCCUCCCACGCUGAGAGAGGUCAGUGUGAGCCCUUGCCUCACACCGGCCCCUCCCACGCGGACAGAGGUCAGCGUGAGCCCCUUGCCUCACACCGGCCCCUCCCACGCGGACAGAGGUCAGCCCGAGCCCCUUGCCUCACACCGGCCCCUCCCACGCUGAGAGAGGUCAGCGUGAGCCCCUUGUCUCACACCGGCCCCUCCCACGCUGAGAGAGGUCAGCCCGAGCCCCUUGCCUCACACCGGCCCCUCCCACGCUGAGAGAGGUCGGUGUGAGCCCUUGCCUCACACCGGCCCCUCCCACGCGGACAGAGGUCAGCGUGAGCCCCUUGCCUCACCCCGGCCCCUCCCACGCUGAGAGAGGUCAGUGUGAGCCCUUGCCUCACACCGGCCCCUCCCACGCGGACAGAGGUCAGCGUGA